GUUGUUGGAGAUGGUUGUGCCUGAGUGAUAGUACAGAAGAAACAUUUAGUACAUCGCAGAACAACUACUAUCAUUUAAGUAAUAUGAUUUCACCAUAGCAAAAGUAUAGUGAUCCAAGACACUGAUGAGUUGAAAUCUACUUAUGAUAAAGCAGAACAACCUGGGUACAACUCAUUUAAUGAGUUGAAAUAUAAGAAUAAGCAAUUUUAUUUCACUUUUUCCUCUGUUGCAGAACAACAUUGCUUAUAUUUCAGACUGCCAACCUACUUUCAAAUCAAGCAUAAAUGCAGGAUACUAUUUUACAUUUCAGACUGAAGGCCACAGAAAUUGUUUUACACCAGCAAUAUCUUAAUAAAUGUGUCUUUGAAUAAGAGGAUCUCUGGAUCUGUUUUUCAAAUUUCCUUCAAACUUGACAAGUUCUCAGUUCAAAAUAUGUAGACAUAAAAAUGAGACAGUGACAAUCUAUGGAAGUGUGAAUUUAAAGAAUUAACAAUUGUCCAAAGUAAUUUCCCGGUUAUCAAAACAGCCCCUUGAUUUGUUAAGUUUGCAUAGGUAAGUAGUUAAUGUCAUGCAACCUACAAAUUUAAGACAUAUAGACUAAUCUGUGAAGCAUGUAGGAGAAUGGAAAAGAAGAAAAAUCACCCAGCAUGCAGAAAUUCUACUUUGGUUAUCAAUAAUGAACUCUAGCAAAGAUAAGAAAUCACAGACAUAAUUGAUUAUGUUUCUGCAAAGGCUAACCAGAAUCAUGAAUUGAUUUAAUCCAUUGACCUGGCAUAUGCUUUCCAAUUUUAAGUGCUUAUCUUCGAUUAGAUUAUCUGUUGUUUAAUAUCUACUUAUUGUUUUUGGCAAGCUCCUUAUUCUAGUAUGUUUUGUUGCAACUUACAAAGCUUUAGAGCUUGUUACUAUCUCUCACAUUCAAUU
This 921-nucleotide unclassified non-coding RNA is filed under the name Hevea brasiliensis (rubber tree). The record is from RNAcentral. Lineage: Eukaryota; Viridiplantae; Streptophyta; Magnoliopsida; Malpighiales; Euphorbiaceae.